AAACCAACAGGGAUUGCCUCAGUAACGGCGAGUGAAGCGGCAAAAGCUCAAAUUUGAAAUCUAACGCCUUCGGUGUUCGAGUUGUAAUCUGAAGAACUUUUUCUUGAGUAUGUCUUUAUCUAUGUUUCUUGGAACAGGACGUCAUAGAGGGUGAGAACCCCGUAUGAUUUGGACCUCUAUUCGUUGUGGAAUUUGUUCGAAGAGUCGAGUUGUUUGGGAAUGCAGCUCUAAGUGGGUGGUAAAUUCCAUCUAAAGCUAAAUAUUGGCGAGAGACCGAUAGCGAACAAGUACAGUGAUGGAAAGAUGAAAAGAACUCUGAAGAGAGAGUGAAAAAGUACGUGAAAUUGCUGAAAGGGAAGGGCUUUAGGUCAGACUUGGUGUUUAAUGAUUAUCUUCUCUUCUUGAGUUGUGCACUCGUUUUCCACUGGGCCAAUGUCAGUUUUGGCGGCAGAGCACCUCUUGGAAUGUAGCUAUCCUUCGGGUUAGUGUUAUAGACUUGAGACGAUCUGUUUGCCGGGACUGAGGACUGCGCAUUAUUGCUAGGACAUUGGCGUAAUGACCUUAAGCCGC
This 570-nucleotide ribosomal RNA is filed under the name Saccharomycopsis amapae. RNAcentral's name for it is "partial large subunit ribosomal RNA". It matches the Rfam family "Eukaryotic large subunit ribosomal RNA", at positions 62 to 648 of the family's 3401-position model. Lineage: Eukaryota; Fungi; Ascomycota; Saccharomycetes; Ascoideales; Saccharomycopsidaceae. The record is from RNAcentral.